GUUUCUGUGAGGCCAUUCAAAGGGCAUGCUAGAAGCUGGGCUGUGGUUAGAAGUGCUGACGCUUUGCACUCACUAACGUCUAAAAAUGUGAAAUUCCUGCAUUUCAACUCAGCUGGUGGGAAGGAAACUCAAGAUGAAGGCAGUGUGCUCUUAGUUUCUCCCCAAAGGCUUAAGCUCUCUGGAGAAGUAGCUCUAGACGUGAGGAUGGAUGUGGUCUGGUGGCCCUGGUCUUGAAGGAUCCUGGCAUUUGUCUUUUCACUUAUGCUAAGGGUCAUGUUUCCUUAGCCAUCAAGAAGUCUGCAAACAACCCUGGUGUAUAUGUCUGAUGGAGAAGGACUCAAUAGCGAAGGGAAUGAGUUCUCUGGGCUGUGGCACUGCUGAGGAUAUGGACAUCUCUAUGAUGACGAAGUUCUGUAUGGGCUUAGCAAGUGCAUCACAAAGAACUCGGAAGGAAGAAGAGGGGAAUACGGAGGAAAGGCAUGAGAAUGGUGUAAGGGCCUACUCUGCCUGCCAUAAAAGUGUUUACGUAAGCAGCUGGAAGAAGAAGAGGGUUGUGGGUAAGACACAGGCUCCAAAAUCCUUAAUCUUCAUGUUUCAAAGAUUUACAGAAGAGAGUAUCCAGAGACCAAUGAAGAAGAAUAUGGUUUGAGGAUGAUGGGGUUUGCAAAGGCCAAGGACAAAAAAGAAGGUGAAGAAGGAGAGGCCACCACAGCUCUGGAGUCUUCUGAAGUGUCUUUGAAAUGGAUUCCUGCAAAGCUAAUCUGCUCAGUGUCACCUACUGGGUUCAGUGACUAUGAAAAGCUGUCUCCCUAAAGCUUUCCCUUCAGAGAGACAAUGGUCUCUUGGAAUUCCAGAUCCUACAAGGAACCGCACAUUGUGAUCUGAAAAUGAGGUAGACUUAAGUUUGCCAGGCUGAAAGAAGAGCAUAGCUCCCUUGCAAGCUCAUAAACUCUCAUCACUCAGGUCCGUAACGUAAGCACAGGCCUCAGAGGCUAAGAGACUGCUUAUCGGGUUGUCAUGGAAGCAACCAAACAAGCACUUUCUGCAAAGAAAAACCAUCUCCAGGAUGAUCAGCAAACAGAAAUACGGGGCACUGCAAAAAUUAAAUGUCACCAAAUGGUCCUGCGGAUGUGGCAUCGAUAGCUACAGCACUGUCUUCUUCUAGAUGGAUUAGCUCAGUCUAGAACGAUCCUGACUUGCAAGACAUUUCUGACUUCACCUUGACAACAAAGAGUUCUCUUUCCAGUUUGUCCCAUUUGUCAUGGGACAAGUGCAUUUGCUACCCAGCGUGCCCUAGGACUGGCUCAAUAGUUCAACAGAGCUGAAGAACACUGUUUCCCAAAUAAACACCAAGAAUCCAAGGACAUUAUUUUUAAACCUCCAGAAAAGACAUUUUUGCAGGAUAUUUUUCUCAAUCAUGUUUUUUUUUUUCUUUUUGUUUUGGUUUUUUUUUUGAGACAGGGGUGUUACUUUGUAGUUCUGGCUGGCUGGGAACUUACUAUGGUCUCAAAUUAGAGGUGAUACCCCUGACAGAGACAUGGCAGCCAGUGUAAUAAGCACGACUCAUAGAUCUGAGCCAGAACCUGUGGUCUUUCUGAAAGGGUCGUUUGAAUCUUAAAUUCAAAGAAGCUUCAUUGUAAAGACUCUGAAACUUGUAGCAACAAUGACCUGGGGUUUCUUUCUCAAAUACUGCUCCUGCACAGGCAAGGCAGCGCAGACGUCAGCUGUCUCCACUUGACCUUGGCUGUGUCACAGAGCAGUAGUUACUUUAUGAUAAGGCAGUGUCUAUGUGUGGGAGUCCCUGGGAGCAAAAGCAACCUGCUGAAGGAGACAUUACCACUUUGGCCUCUUGUCAGUCUAAGUUGCUUUCUGUUGGAAGCAAGACCUUAGCACCUCAAAACCUCAAAAGCCUUCUUUUUUUCUUUUGCAGUCUUGUUAACUUCACUGUAGUUAUAAUGGUAAAGCACCAUAAAAAAGGACUUUAUGGCUAGAAACAGGAUUCACUGAGGUAUGCCAAAAUGUAAAUUCUUAAGACAUUAUACCAGAGCAUCCAAGUAAAUAAAAAUAAAAUCAGAAUCC
RNAcentral lists this long non-coding RNA (2079 nucleotides) under Mus musculus (house mouse). Its description in RNAcentral is "RIKEN cDNA A730049H05 gene". Lineage: Eukaryota; Metazoa; Chordata; Mammalia; Rodentia; Muridae. The record is from RNAcentral.